Molecule: ribosomal RNA, 163 nt
Filed under: Cephalostachyum virgatum
Lineage: Eukaryota; Viridiplantae; Streptophyta; Magnoliopsida; Poales; Poaceae
Description: 5.8S ribosomal RNA
Rfam family: 5.8S ribosomal RNA
About the family: 5.8S ribosomal RNA (5.8S rRNA) is a component of the large subunit of the eukaryotic ribosome.
Source: RNAcentral
CGACGACUCUCGGCAACGGAUAUCUCGGCUCUCGCAUCGAUGAAGAACGUAGCGAAAUGCGAUACCUGGUGUGAAUUGCAGAAUCCCGCGAACCAUCGAGUCUUUGAACGCAAGUUGCGCCCGAGGCCACCCGGCCGAGGGCACGCCUGCCUGGGCGUCACGC